UUCCUAUAGUUUUAGGCUUUAAAUACACCAAACCCCUCCCAGUCAGCGCGCUAGUUGCUAGCUGCUACUGCUAGUCGCUGGCCUGCUAAAAUAAACUUGCGGGUUUUUUUUCCUGAAGUUCUCUGGCGUCUUUUUGAUUUUUGGAUCCAAUUUGGAUUGAUUUUUGCAGGUGGGCUGCCUCAGGACUUCCCCACUGUACUUUGAAGAGUCUACAGAAUUGUUUUCAAUGAAGACAGACCUUGGCUUAUUACUAGGAAAAAGCUCCAUUGUGGGUGUCAGGGCUUUGAAAUUUAAAUCACUGGAUUCAGCCUGCCCUGGGAUCGCUCCCAGCCGAAGCCUCCUCUGGUCCGCUCCCCGCGGCUCCUUCCGUGCUUCGCUCCGAAGCCUCUACCGGUCCGCUCUCCGCGGCUCCUUCCGGGCUUCUACUUCCCCCCAGGGGUGGCACCAGUAUAUAUACGGAUACAGUGUCCAAUCAUAUUAAAAGUCUCACCGUUUCCCAGUUUGGACUCCAACCCGGAUCUUCCUGCCUCGGCCUCCAAGUGCUGCGGGUCCAGGUGUGGCAGCCAUACCUAGGCCUGACUGAUGAUUUUCAAAACGUUCGAGUUCAUCAAAUCUCAGGGAAAUGUUGCUGUCAGGAGGAGCCCAGGGGACGGGACUGCUCGGUGAGAGACUGGAACAGAAAAGGGACAUUAGGGGGAAGAAGAGGCUGAGAGGCCUUGCUCCCGGUUGGUGGCUUCUGACAAAUGCUCCAAAGUAGUGAGGUUUGUGACAACGCGACCCAGGCACAGGCACUGCCCUGAGACAGACAUUGCUUCAGACACGCUUUCCGGAUGCUGAGACCACAGCUCCCGAGAGCAGUGAGUGGACAGUGGUCUUUCAGCAUCAAAGAAGAAAUCAAGGAAUCAUAUUUUUAGUUCGAACACAGCCUUAUCGGGAUACAGAAACAUCAGUUAUUUAUAUAUGUAUAUAUAUAUAUAUAUAUAUAUAUAUAUAUAUAUAUAUUGUGUGUGUGUGUGUGUGUGUGUGUGUGUGUGUGUGUGUGUUUGGUACUGGGGACCCAAUCCAAGGUUGUGCUACCAAUGAGGUACAUCCUGAUAUUUCUUUCAAGGCAGAGUCUGACUGCCAGGCAUGGUGGUUCAGCCUGUAAUCCCAGCAUUCAGGAGGCUGGGGCAGAAGCAUCACUGUGAGUUUGAGACCAGGCUAUAGCAAGACCCUGUCAUAACACAACACAACACAGCAAGACUGAGUGUUGCUCAGGUUGGUCUUGAACUGGAGAUCCUCCUGCCUCAGCAUCUCAAGUUACCUGCAUGGAGGUUAUGUGCACCGCGCCUAGAUUUUUUUUUUUUUUUUGUAUGUUUGUUCAACUGUCUUGAGACAGCUUCAGUAAGUUCUCCAAGCUCCCCUGGAGCUCUUAGCUCUUACCUCUUAGUCGGCCUGUGUCAGGGCACCGCCUUCUGCGGUUGUCGUUGGGGAUCCCCUCCUGGGCAGCAGACUCUGCUCUCUGCCGCGUCUCUCCAGUCUCCCCAUCCACUCCAGGUUCAAACAGCUGUUGCCAGAUUGCCCAGGUGUUGUGCUGACGCUUGGCCUGCUCGGGCUCGGGAACUCCCUCUUCCUCCUGUACUGGAUUCACGUCAUCUGGUCAACAAUGGCUUUGUUGCCAUGGAGACCGGACUGGCCGCAAGACAGUCACGGUCCGCACAGGUGUGACCGGGAAGGUCUCCACCUCACCUGCGGCCUCCGGCUGUGCGGCAGCUGCAGACAGCGGCAGAGACCCCGCGUGCCGGUCCCCAGCUGCGCUGUCCCGCCGCGGUGGCCCCGGCGCUGCAGGCCGGGGAGGCCGGGACGCUGCGUCCUGUCCGAGGGACCGUGUCCCGCAGACCCGCCAGCAGCGCGGUGGGUGAGCGGCUUCCUGUCCCUCCAGUGUCGCCAGGUGACGCCUCCGGGCUCUUGUGUAUUUUUAGCUGGGGCAGAGAAGAACCUGGAGCCCAAGCUGCUCAUCUCUGAUGGAGGCGUCUUCCUGAAUCCGCCUGCGGCUCCUCCUCUCUCGGUGUGAAAAAUAAAAGCCGUGGCGUUGGACGCCCCCUCCCCGAGGCCUGAAUAAGUGUGAAUACUGCAGCUGAGAAUCACCGGGGCUGGCACACGUGGUGGGUUAACCUCCCCCCACUUCCCUCCCUCCCUCAUUCCGCCCCUUCACGGGGUCUUAUUUGUAGUUCCAAACUGGCCGUGAACUUGUGAUUCUCCUGCCUCAGCCUUCCAAGUGCACGGAUUUCAGGCUCACAGACAUUUUAAUAGUACUAACCACAUGCGUGCAUGCUGGCAGUGGAGCUGGUCGCUUCACUCGCUGAUUUUGUGACAUUUCUGUGAUGUAUCACAUGCUGGGUACUGAAAUAAGGGUAUUGAGAUCUUAACAUUCUAAGACUAGGGAUGCGUGUAAUAAGCAUGUAUAAAAGUAAAAAGUGUUAGCCUUUCCAUUUGGAGACUUAAAGUGUGAAAGAACGGGGAAUCUGUUACUUUACAGAGAUCUCAUUGUGAGCAGUGCAGAGUAUAUUUUUGUUUUUGUUUUGUGGUACUAGGGAUUGAACCCACGGCCUUUGUUCUAAGUUACAUGUUCACUUUAUUAAUUUUCUUUUAAAUUUUGAAGCAGGGUCUUGUUGCUAAGUUGCUAAAUUCCCUGGGAAGUUGCCAUCUUCCUGUCUUAGCUUCCUAGAAUGCUAGCAUGACAGCUUGUGUGUCUUGUUUCUUUGACAGUAUACAUUUAGGCAAAACUAAACAUACACCAUCUAAAUAAUUUGGCACUUUCUUUUCUUCUUUGACUUGAUUUUAUGUCAUAAGCACUUUCCCCUGUCAUUAUGAACUCUUCCUAAAUAAUCUUAUUGAUGAUCAUUUCAUGCUUAUAUUAUGUACAAAAUGUCAUCAUUUUUCCAUGUACUAUGACAUGGAUCAAAGAGUUUAUUUUUUAAGUCAUACAUCUGUGUCAUAACCCAUAAAUAUGUACAAUUAUUAGUAUGUGUCAAGAAAAUAUAAAACAAAAUUGCAAUUAAAAGUAAUAAUGAUAAGCCAGGCAUGGUGGUGCACUCCUGAGACUCCAGCACUCAGGAGGCUGAAGGAGGACAAUCAUUGGCAAAUUUGAGACCAGCCUGGGCUAUAAAGUAAGCCCAAGGUCAGCCUGAACUUCACAGUGAGACCCUGUCUCAAAAAGACAAAUAAAAUAAAAAGUAAUCAUGAUAAUAAAUCUGUCUUGGCCACACUAUAACCAAAGUUCUUUGGAAAAGCCAACCUCAUGUGUGUUUUGCGCUAUCUUUGCUGUUUUCUUCAAGACACACGUGUGCAUAUGCGCUAACACAUGCACAUAUGUGUACACACACUCACAUAUGCGUACACAUACUCUGGAGCCCAAUGGACCACAGUUGCGGAUGUAACUCCUGGCUUUCUGUCCAGCAGGACAGUCAUUGUCCCUGCUCCUGGCCAUGGCCUUGUGAUGGACCCUGUCCUCUCCAUGGGCCAGGCCUGCUUUGUCUACAUGGCAUCCAGCCAGGAGCAGCCCAUUCCCACCCCCAGGAAUCCCAGCACUCCCGGAGGCUGAGGCAGGAGGAUUAUAACUUCCAGUCUAACCCGGGCAACUUAAUGAGACCCUGUCUCAUAAUUUAAAAUAUAGGCUGAGGCUGUAUCUCAGUUGGAGGAUCUUGGGCUCAAUUUCCAGCACUUCCAAACAAAACAAAAACAAAGAACUACCCAUGGGAACUAACUAGAUGGCACCUGUCCCAGGAGCAUCUUCCACUUUGGCCCCGUGUGGGCCACGCAGUAGGUGCUCAGAAUGUUGAAAAGGGUAGGGGACCACAGCACACUCCCUUUUAUUUUUAGUAAGCAAUACUGCUAGGUGUGAUGGCGCAGGCCAGUACUCACAGCACACAGGAGCCAGGGCAGGAGAACCAUGAAUUUGAAGCCAGUCUGGCUACACAGAGUCCAAGACCAGUGUAGAUUACACAGUGAGACCUUGGAGGUGUGACAGCAGACAGGGUGGGGUGAACCAGGCUGUGGAACCAGCGGGGCCUGUGAGUCACAAGAUCCCAGGCAACCAGGGCACCACAGAGAGCUUCCAUGAGCGCCUGUGAGAAGUGGAUGGCAAAAACGGCCCGGCUGGGGGAACCCACGUCCUGGUCUGCAUGCCGUCUCUGCUAGAGAGCUGUGUGCUUUCAUUUUUGCUUUUGCCUUUGUCUUUUUUCUUUGUUUGGCCCAAAUUCGCUCUGCAGAGCUGGUUUCUUCCAUAUCCAUUAACCCCGCACUUUUCAAAUAAACAUUGGAAACCGUU
Molecule: long non-coding RNA, 4309 nt
Organism: Cavia porcellus (domestic guinea pig)
Lineage: Eukaryota; Metazoa; Chordata; Mammalia; Rodentia; Caviidae
Exons: 3
Source: RefSeq, a predicted model, not a curated record